This 3720-nucleotide long non-coding RNA is filed under the name Panax ginseng (ginseng). RNAcentral's name for it is "long non-coding RNA (PGIN_LNC010940)". Lineage: Eukaryota; Viridiplantae; Streptophyta; Magnoliopsida; Apiales; Araliaceae. The record is from RNAcentral.
GCUUCUGAGGCAGAACUGCAAAUUUCAGUUAUGUUCCUUUUUUAGUCUCUUACGUGGUUCCUCCUAAUAUAUGCUGCAGGAGAUGAAAUGACUUGAGUGUUCUGGAAAUCAAUAAAUGACAAGGUAAUUUGCUUCUUUUAAUUAAUCAAUGCUUUUUGCUAUUUUGUUCAAUUAGAAUUUAUCUCGUUCUUAUGUCUUGAAUUGAUAUACUGCAGCUCAUUUUUCCCUUUGUGGAGCUGGAUAUAAAAUACUUUGACCUUGGCCUUCCUCACCGUGAUGCAACUGAUGAUAAAGUUAUUAUUGAAAGUGCAGAGGCCACCCUCAAGUAUGUACUUGAAUUCUUUUAAUGAUUCUAUAAUUCUAUUUUCAAAAUACUUUAACUUGUGCGUUGAGUUUUAAUGUUUUGUACACUCGUGUCUCCGUGUGCUUGUGUCUUAUUGUGUGUGUCUAUUUUUUUUUUUUGAAAGUUGAGGUGUAUUUUAUCCUUUUAGGUUCAAUGUGGGAAUCAAGUGUGCAACCAUUACUCCAGGUAUACAUUGCUGGAUCUAACAGAAAGAUUUUUUUUUUUAGAUAAUACAUCAAUGAAUGCUUUACAGGGACUUUUGGUAUGUUAUCAUUACUAAACAAAAAUAAAAAAUAUGGUUAUUUAUUUAACAGAUGAAGCUCGUGUUGAGGAGUUUGGCCUGAAGCAGAUGUGGAAGAGUCCAAAUGGGACAAUUAGGAACAUUUUAAAUGGUCAGUGACUUGUUUCACUUUGUAAGUUUCAAAGUUAUUGCUUCACAUAAUAUGAUUGACUGUUGAUGGGUCAUUAUAAUUUACACUCGCUACAGGGACCGUAUUCAGGGAACCAAUUAUUUGCAAAAACAUCCCCAAUUAUUUGUAAAAACUUGUUAUAUAACUGGGCAUCCAUCUAUUCCUCGAGUCAAAAAGGUGGGAAAGGAAAGAUACAACUUGUUGUGUACAGUGAAGGAAAGUGAUUGAGAGAGCAUUUGUUUGUUAGUCUACAUUUUUAAACAAGUGGUUCUUAUGGAAAUAAAUUGUGAAUAGGGAUGUAUUAUUGGGAUGUAUUUUGAAUGUUAUUAUUGGGAUGUAUUUUGAAUGGUUGAUACAGUUUGACUUUGAAUUUAAAUGAGAAUUUAGACCUUUUAGCUAUAUUAUGGCAUUAGCAGAUUGCAGGUGCACUGGAAAUAUAGGUGAACCACAACUUCUUUUUCCCAAUUCAAUCUACAACCUUUUAAAAACGUUGUAUAAAUGUGCUUAAACGUUGUCUGAUAUAUUAAACUACAAUAUUUUAAGCUAGAAAAUAUUGUGGAAUCAUACCUUCUACAACGUUUUCAAGAAUCUACUAAUUUAUGAAAAAUAAAUCUACAACGUUUUUUUCUUAAAAAAACGUUAUAGAAUAUGUCUAACUACAACGUUUUAAAAACGUUGUAUAAGGGUGUCAAAUAUAUGACAUCCUUAACCACGACGUUUUUCUGACAGAAACCACAACGUUUUUUACGCGUUAUCUAUUUACUGUUUUGUAGUAGUGACUCAAGUUUGAGUUAGGGAAACAUGCCUCGUUCACUGAUUAUUACUACGCAAUUUAAUAUAACUUCUUAUUAAAGACCUAUCAUUAAUAAGAUUGAUCUCUCAAUUAGCAUCACAUAUCUUACUCAUAAUACUAUUAUUCUAUAAUAUUUUAUCUAACAUGUAAUCACAUAAUCAAACAUUUGAUACUACCAUAAAUCAUUGGUAAUAUUAUCAUCAUUUGAUAAUAUUCUAUCACAUAACAGUCAUCUUAAACUCCCAUCUAAUAUCAAAUAAUAUUUCAUCACUUCUUAUUAUUAAUCACUUAAUAGUAUUUUAUUCCCUUUCCAAUAUUAUUAUCCACCUAAUAAUAUUUUAUUUAUUCAGAAAUAUUAUUAAUCAUUUAAUAACAUAUUACUUACCUCAUAAUUUAUUAAUCAUUUAAUAAAAUCUUACUCACCUCAUAAUAUUAUUAAUCAUUUAAUAAUAUCUUAUUAACUUACUUAAUAUUAUUAAUCAUUUAAUAAUAUUUUAAUCCUUAACUAAUAUUAUUAAUUAUUUAAUAAUAUUUUAAAUUCUUAACUGAUAUUAUUAAUCAUUUAAUAAUAUUUUAAUCUAAUAUUAUUAAUUAUUUAAUAAUAUUUUAAAUCAUUAUCUAUGAUUAUUAAUCAUUUAAUAAUAAUAGUUUAAUAUAAUAUUAUUAAUCAUUUAAUAAUAUUUUAAAUCAUUUAUUAAUACUUUAAUCUAAUAUUAUUAAUAAUUUAAUAGUAUUUAAUAUUUUAAUCUAAAUAUUAUUAAUUACUUAAUAAUAUCUUAAUCUAAUAUUAUUAAUCAUUUAAUAAUAUUUUAAUCAUUUAUUAAACUAAUAAACAAUUUACUCUAAUUGUUUAUCCUUUACUAAUUCAUUUCUUUAAUAAUCAUAAAAUACCAUAAAUAUAAAAUCUUAUCAAAAAUGACCAAAAUACCCUACAGAAAUCUGGACACAUCAUAUUAUGGGCCUUUUGUCAAGAAAAUCACAUUUACACAAAUUUUAACAUCACAUAACUUAUUAUUCCCAUUUAUUCAUAACUCCAACAUUUAUAUGAAAAAUACCAAACCAACUCUGAAAGUUUUUCUUUUCUGGGAAUCGUUAGAAUACGGUUCCCUUAUGAACACAUUAAUUUUUUCUAGGAUUUUCCAAUUUCAUUUACUAUUUUUAAAUUGCCCAAAACAGUCAGAUCUUCCAACAAUUAUCAUAAAUCGACAUUUUGCCCAAUAAUUUUAAAAUAUUUAGGGUAUUUUCCUGUUAUAUACAUCUAAUUUUAGUAAAAACUUUAAAAUUUUUAGAGUUACACACAAAAAGUUAUUCAAGUUUACUUUUAAAAUAGUCAUUUCUUGUAAAAUCCAUAACUUUUAUUCUACACCUCCAAAAAUCACCAUCUUUGGACAUGAUCGUGAUAACUCAUCAUAUUAUCAUACCAAAAUUUUUCAAAAUUUUUAAAGCAAAGAAGAAGGACGAAAAUGCCCCUGCAAGUAACUGGCCAAGAACAUCCAUUUCCCCUUUUCUUCAGAAGUUGGACUGUUAUGACCAAAACAGCCACCAUGGCUUGAUAAAUUAACAUUUUUAGUGCUACCACUUGGGUUAAAAGAUAAAUUAUAUAUCUAGCACUCCUCUUUGACGGAUCACAAAAAGAAGGUGUAGAUCUUAAAUGGUAGGCAUUCAAAGUAAUAAAAAGUUAGGGUUUUCUAAGCUUGAAAAACAAAAUUUUAUUUUCUUUCUUUUGAUCAAACUUUUGACACCCACAAUGGUUAGAUCUAAACAUAAAAUACUCAUUAACAUGUAGAUCAAGAGUUUUAGAGUUUAUGAACAUAACUUGUUGAUUUCAUCAAAACAAAUUAAAUAUAAGGAAUAAACUAAUUUAUUGAUAGGUUUUUAUACCUUUGAUUUAUGUGGAUGAUCUUUUUCUUCCUUCCAAGAGUUAUGAAGCAUAAAAAAAAAAUCAAACUCUCAUCUCCUACUCCCCCUAAGUGGAUUCCGAAAUCCUCUUGGAUUCUCUCUUUAUUUUCUUUCUUUAGCUUGCUUUUUGGUGGAGAUGAAAGAGAAAUGAAGAAAAUUUUUAAUAACUAAUGAGAUGGGGGUUUUUAUAAAAGCUAGAAAAUAUGUAUACUUACAUAUUCUAUAUACACAUAUUUCUCCCAACUUCUCUCCUUUACUUAUCUCUUACAUCUAAC